UAAAAGCAGGAUAAAACGGCAACGCAUUCUUUCUGAGAGAUGCCAGAGCUGGUAGGUAGCCCAGCCGUCUACACCGCACGGUGUAGUAAAGUAACCUUCCCCUCCGGGGUUGUCCGUUCCUGUAAGGAUUUAU
This 133-nucleotide non-coding RNA is filed under the name unclassified sequences. RNAcentral's name for it is "yjdF RNA". It matches the Rfam family "azaaromatic riboswitch aptamer (yjdF RNA)". The record is from RNAcentral.